UGAGGAAUCUUGCACAAUGGGCGAAAGCCUGAUGCAGCGACGCCGCGUGGAGGAUGAAGGUUUUCGGAUUGUAAACUCCUGUUAAGUGGGAAGAAAAGUCUGUUCCUAAUAUGAGCAGAUUAUGACGGUACCAUUAGAGAAAGCACCGGCUAACUUCGUGCCAGCAGCCGCGGUAAUACGAGGGGUGCGAGCGUUAUUCGGAAUCAUUGGGCGUACAGGGCGCGUAGACGGCGUAUUAAGUCAACUGUUAAAUUUCCCGGCCUAACCGGGAGCCAGCAGUAGAUACUGAUAUGCUAGAGGAUGGAAGAGAGAAGUGGAAUUCUCGGAGUAGCGGUAAAAUGCGUAGAUCUCGAGAGGAACACCGAUGGCGAAGGCAGCUUCUUGGUCCAUACCUGACGUUGAGGCGCGAAAGCGUGGGGAGCAAACAGGAUUAGAUACCCCCGUAGUCC
This 449-nucleotide ribosomal RNA is filed under the name uncultured bacterium. Its description in RNAcentral is "bacterial SSU rRNA". It matches the Rfam family "Bacterial small subunit ribosomal RNA", at positions 355 to 796 of the family's 1533-position model. The record is from RNAcentral.